This 254-nucleotide ribosomal RNA is filed under the name uncultured Bacteroidales bacterium. Its description in RNAcentral is "partial 16S ribosomal RNA". It matches the Rfam family "Bacterial small subunit ribosomal RNA", at positions 524 to 776 of the family's 1533-position model. Lineage: Bacteria; Pseudomonadati; Bacteroidota; Bacteroidia; Bacteroidales. The record is from RNAcentral.
UACGGAGGAUGCGAGCGUUAUUCGGAUUUAUUGGGUUUAAAGGGUGCGUAGGCUGUAAGGUAAGUCAGCGGUGAAAUGCCCCCGCUCAACGGGGUGAAGUGCCAUUGAUACUGCCUUGCUGGAAUGCGGAUGCCGUGGGAGGAAUGUGUGGUGUAGCGGUGAAAUGCAUAGAUAUCACACAGAACACCGAUUGCGAAGGCAUCUCACGAAUCCGCGAUUGACGCUGAGGCUCGAAAGUGUGGGGAGCAAACAGG